This 115-nucleotide ribosomal RNA is filed under the name Betta splendens (Siamese fighting fish). The record is from RNAcentral. Lineage: Eukaryota; Metazoa; Chordata; Actinopteri; Anabantiformes; Osphronemidae.
GCUUACGGCCAUACCACCCUGAGCACCUGAUCUGUCUGAUCUCGGAAGCUAAGCACUGUCGGGCCUGGUUAGUACUUGAUGGGAGACCGCCUGGGAAUACCAGGUGCUGUAAGCU